This 301-nucleotide ribosomal RNA is filed under the name uncultured bacterium. RNAcentral's name for it is "partial 16S ribosomal RNA". It matches the Rfam family "Bacterial small subunit ribosomal RNA", at positions 509 to 807 of the family's 1533-position model. The record is from RNAcentral.
CAGUCGCCGCGGUAAUACGGAGGGAGCUAGCGUUGUUCGGAAUUACUGGGCGUAAAGCGCACGUAGGCGGCUACUCAAGUCGGGGGUGAAAGCCCGGGGCUCAACCCCGGAACUGCCCUCGAAACUAGGUAGCUAGAAUCUUGGAGAGGUCAGUGGAAUUCCGAGUGUAGAGGUGAAAUUCGUAGAUAUUCGGAAGAACACCAGUGGCGAAGGCGACUGACUGGACAAGUAUUGACGCUGAGGUGCGAAAGCGUGGGGAGCAAACAGGAUUAGAUACCCCUGUAGUCCCUGUCUCUUAUAC